Molecule: long non-coding RNA, 759 nt
Organism: Temnothorax curvispinosus
Lineage: Eukaryota; Metazoa; Arthropoda; Insecta; Hymenoptera; Formicidae
Exons: 2
Source: RefSeq, a predicted model, not a curated record
AGCCGAUAUACUGCGUUUUGAUUCUCCCGUGGAAAGUUUUCUAGGAAACGCAGCCGCCCAAUCCUUUCACCGGUUGCGCCCGGACAUUGUCAGCUAAUCAAAAUCUGGGAGCAACGUUCUCGAAUGUGGGCAGGAUCAGUACCACCGAAUCUGACUAAAGGACGCUUUCGAGAUCCCUUGAGGACUGCCUUUUCUCAUUCAACCCUCAUCUCCUGUGGCGCUCAUUGGAGGGAUGGCAUGCUACCCGGCCAAUGAACCGUUUCAACUGGAUUUCCUAACGAGGGAGGACUACAGGUGCAAUGGUGACAGCUGUAGAAGCACCCUUAUAUCGGAAUUUUUUUAAUUUGGGACUGUGUGAUUCACGGAAAUAGAUUCUCAAAAGAUAAAAUAAGAUGACCUCAUCUAGGUAUAUUGGAUACCAGUACCAAGUCUUCAAAUAAUCUUUAAAAUAAAAUAUUGCAAACUAAAUAUAAGUAAACAAAAUAAAACACAUACAAUAACAAUAACAAUAAUAAAUGCAUAAGGUGUAAUACUUGUACUUUGCGCGGCAGUACAAGGUGUACAUCUUUUCUCAUUUCCGUUAAGGACAACCAGACUAUCUAAAAUCGUGCGUGCGAUAUCUUUGCGGUAUCUCAUUUGAAAGCCGCACGAGGCAGUGCAUAAUUAAAAACAUCCACAUACAUGGGUAGGUAUCUCUCGCGUGAGCGGACAGCAGCCAGCCAAAGAGAGAGGGAGAGAGAGAGAGAGAGAGAGAGGAGA